This 523-nucleotide ribosomal RNA is filed under the name uncultured bacterium. RNAcentral describes it as "bacterial SSU rRNA". It matches the Rfam family "Bacterial small subunit ribosomal RNA", at positions 8 to 526 of the family's 1533-position model. The record is from RNAcentral.
AGAGUUUGAUCCUGGCUCAGAUUGAACGCUGGCGGCAGGCCUAACACAUGCAAGUCGAGCGGAUGACAGGAGCUUGCUCCUGAAUUCAGCGGCGGACGGGUGAGUAAUGCCUAGGAAUCUGCCUGGUAGUGGGGGACAACGUUUCGAAAGGAACGCUAAUACCGCAUACGUCCUACGGGAGAAAGCAGGGGACCUUCGGGCCUCGCGCUAUCAGAUGAGCCUAGGUCGGAUUAGCUAGUUGGUGAGGUAAUGGCUCACCAAGGCGACGAUCCGUAACUGGUCUGAGAGGAUGAUCAGUCACACUGGAACUGAGACACGGUCCAGACUCCUACGGGAGGCAGCAGUGGGGAAUAUUGGACAAUGGGCGAAAGCCUGAUCCAGCCAUGCCGCGUGUGUGAAGAAGGUCUUCGGAUUGUAAGGCACUUUAAGUUGGGAGGAAGGGCAUUAACCUAAUACGUUAGUGUUUUGACGUUACCGACAGAAUAAGCACCGGCUAACUCUGUGCCAGCCGCCGCGGUAAUAC